UUCUAAGGGCGUUGAAGCAUGAUCGCAAGGACAUGUGGAGCGCUUAGAAGUGAGAAUGCCGGUGUGAGUAGCGAAAGACGGGUGAGAAUCCCGUCCACCGAUUGACUAAGGUUUCCAGAGGAAGGCUCGUCCGCUCUGGGUUAGUCGGGUCCUAAGCUGAGGCCGACAGGCGUAGGCGAUGGAUAACAGGUUGAUAUUCCUGUACCACCAUUAUUCGUUUUAAGCGAUGGGGGGACGCAGUAGGAUAGGCGAAGCGUGCUGUUGGAGUGCACGUCCAAGCAGUGAGAUUGAGUGUUAGGCAAAUCCGGCACUCUUAAGAUUGAGCUGUGAUGGGGAGAGGAACUUGUUCCUCGAGUCGUUGAUUUCACACUGCCGAGAAAAGCCUCUAGCUAGAAUAACGGUGCCCGUACCGCAAACCGACACAGGUAGUCAAGAUGAGAAUUCUAAGGUGAGCGAGCGAACUCUCGUUAAGGAACUCGGCAAAAUGACCCCGUAACUUCGGGAGAAGGGGUGCUCUUUGAGGUUCACGCU
This 531-nucleotide ribosomal RNA is filed under the name Staphylococcus pseudintermedius. RNAcentral's name for it is "partial 23S ribosomal RNA". It matches the Rfam family "Bacterial large subunit ribosomal RNA", at positions 1239 to 1768 of the family's 2925-position model. The record is from RNAcentral. Lineage: Bacteria; Bacillati; Bacillota; Bacilli; Caryophanales; Staphylococcaceae.